GUAACACUGAGACUUUAGGCCA
Molecule: non-coding RNA, 22 nt
Filed under: Arabidopsis thaliana (thale cress)
Lineage: Eukaryota; Viridiplantae; Streptophyta; Magnoliopsida; Brassicales; Brassicaceae
Source: RNAcentral